AAUAAAAAUGAAUAAUAAUGUACCUAAAAAUGGAGGAAUUAAAACAAAUGUUUUUAGUUUCCGCUCACUGGGCUUUUAGCUCACCCCACUCCCAUUAUCCCCAGAGUUGCAGGUACAGGAGAGAUCAAGAAGUCGGCUAGAGUGAAGUCAAGUCAUAUGUAUGUAAUAGCUAGAGUAUGUGGACAUGACAUAUGAUAAGAAUGUAAUGUAAAGUUUGAACAGUCAUGUUUAUGUAAUUAUGUUAUUGAG
RNAcentral lists this long non-coding RNA (249 nucleotides) under Manihot esculenta (cassava). RNAcentral describes it as "long non-coding RNA (MESC_LNC001138)". Lineage: Eukaryota; Viridiplantae; Streptophyta; Magnoliopsida; Malpighiales; Euphorbiaceae. The record is from RNAcentral.